Molecule: long non-coding RNA, 8757 nt
Organism: Corvus hawaiiensis (hawaiian crow)
Lineage: Eukaryota; Metazoa; Chordata; Aves; Passeriformes; Corvidae
Exons: 2
Source: RefSeq, a predicted model, not a curated record
CCCUAAUCGGCGCUGCCCGGCCCGGCGUCGCGCACCUCCCGCGCUAUCGCUGCGUGCAGCCGGUGCCAGGGCCGUGCCCGGGACACGGGGGAGCCGCUGCCGGGGUCGGGGUGCCCCCGUAGCUCCGCAGCCCAGCUGGCUCCGGAGGCUCCGGGGGCCCUCUGCCCGCUGGGAACCCGUCGCCCAGGGGCCGGGCUCCGUCGGGAGCGGUGGCGGGGCCGGCUGCCCCCCGUUCGGGAGCCCUCGCCAGGACGGCCCCGUUUCCCGCUUUCCCCCGUGUUGCAGAGUCGGGACCGACUGAUGGCUCGGGCGGGAGAUGUGGCCGCUGGCAGAGGUUGGUGCUGUUGGCACUUGGUGGCCUGUGACCAGCAGCGUGGCCUGGCAAGGCUGAGUCACGGGGACUGGCUAUGUGCCACUGUUUGUAGAAGUCGUCCCUUGGACUUUCUACUAGACAUUCCUUUCAAGAAAGUAUCAUUAGUUGUUUUGGCACCCUCCAGUCUUUGCUGUUGCAUCUUACUCAGUUCUUUACAAUUCUCUGUAUUUAUCCACGUAAUGGUGUCAUGUAGAUCCUUUCUACCACACCUUAUUUCCAAGCCUAAUUUAAACACAGCACUUGGGGUAGGCAAAGUCUAAAGGAUUUGAAAUAAGUUUUGUAAGUAACAUUCUCUUAUUCCUGAACAAUUUUCACAGAGGCUAAAUUCUAUGGAAAUUAUUUUUGCAGCAUUCACAGUGGGGAUUCAUCCCCGUGGUCACCAAUCCUCUGGUGAGUACUGUACUCCUGGUGAUCCUCUGGAGCUCAAACUGAACCCCUCUGCUGCUGAUGUGUAAGUCUUUGCAAAUAAAACCUCUCCUGAGGAACACAAACGCUGUGUUCCAGCAGCCCUGCUGUGGAGUGGGCAGUGGUUGGAACAACCUUGUUAAGGAUGUCUCAUGUGUGAAACCGUACGCCCUGUGUGUGGUUUGUAGGUGCACCCGUGUCCUGUACCUGGUAGCUGAGUGUCCCCAGGGGGAUGCUGGUCUGCCAGGCCCCACCUGAUUUCUCCCAGGUCCACAAUCUUCUCACUCACCUACAAAACCUGUGGGCUGCAGGCUGCUCCUGAGCUGAUGCAGGCUCUGCCUGCUACCCACAUAACCCUUACCUUGUGAUGGACACGUGGGCCCUGGUUUUCCCAGAGCAGUACUGCAUUUCCUGGAAACACUGAAAAAGACCUCUCUGAGCACUUACAGCCUCUGUGAGUUCUCUCUCCAUGGCUGCUUAGCCCAUCCAUAGAUGUUUGCUUUGGAAACUAAAUAGCUGGGCUCCCUUGGAAGUUUUUAUGCCAUUUCUCCACUUGUUCUUGUUGUUCUUUUCACUCUCCAUCUGAUUCCCCCCUCCUAGAAGUUCUCUGGGAGCAGAGCUACCACAAUACCCACCCUGAUAUGAGCCAGGCAAAAUCAGUCACCUGCCAGCAAGAGCUGGCAAAGUUCUCUUCAAAACCAGCUGUAAGAAUUGCUGAAAGGCCACAGUGUCACUGCAGAAGCAUUUUAUUUUCUUGUUCUGUGCUCAGGUUUUGGGUAUGAUGUGGGCUUGCUCACCUUCAUCGCCUCUGUAGCAAACCCACAUCUGAAUUAUUUGCCUUACACUUUUUCCCAACAUGCCAGUAGCCAGUGUUAUAAAGACCAGACUGUAAUGUUGGUUUAAAUCCUAUCUGUUUAAUCCCAACUCACUGCUGGAUUGUGGUGUGUGUUGGUUUUUUCAGUGACAGAAUAAAAUUACUCUCCAUUUGUUAAUUCUACACUAGGCUAUUAAUUGCUGCUAUUUCUGAAGAAGGAAAUGUAUCACAUUCCAAGUAACAAAUGAUCUUUAUGCUGUUGAGUUUAAAUAUGGAAUAUGAUUUCUCAUGUCCCAGUGCCCUACUACAUGUAUUAAUUUAAUCUCUCAUUACCAGCCAGCUCUAGGUAGUUAGUCUGUAGUGCAAGGAGUCUGUGGGAGGUAACUGAAAGAAUCAAGUCUGGUUUUCUUAGAAAUGAAUUUGGGUGCAUGGCUACAGACCACUGAGGGAUCUGUGGGUUGGAAAGUUUGAAAAUCCCUGGCCGAGGGUUUAGACACGGAAGUUAAAUAAAUCAUGGGAGGAUGCAGCACUUAAUAUUUGAAUUACAAAGUAUGCAUUACAUUGGGUGGUUGUGCUUCAUGAAUGGUAGUGGUUUAGACUCUCAGGAAAUUAAUGUUUUCCUGAAACAAGCUCUGGUUGGGCAACAUGAAGGCAUGACAAUGCAGCAGGGUCUAGGCAAAAUAUAAUCAUCAGAGUUGGCUGUAUUAAUUUGAUUUUUAAAAUGAUCAAGCAUAUUUUAAAAACAAUUUCCAGAUGAUUUGAUGCUAUCUUUAAAAUGCCAAAAUAAAAAUCAGCUGAAAAGCAUAAAUUUGGUUACUAAACAGUUCACCAUGCAGUAUUUACAUGUAUAACCAGCUUUUGCUGUGCUGAGUAACCCUGCUUGUUCAGUAAAACUGCUCAUACAGGCUGAGGUUAUUUCUGACUUACUUAGAGAGAGCGAGUCAUGAGCUGCUGCUGCUGGAGAUACUUCGUGCAAGUAAAGCAGUGGCUUUGGGUGGGUUUUUUAAUGUACUGUACUUCUUAUAGGCAAAGACUAAACAAGGGCAGUUUAGAUCAGUAACAGAUGCAAUAUCUAAAGUUUGAGUACCCUGAAAGUUUGUCAUUGUCUGAUGACAACAAGAUCUAAUGGUAUAAAAGUAUGUAAAAACUUCCUGGUGUUACUGAAAGGACCUUCUGACCAGCUCUUCUGGUGGUUCUUUAAAGAUGCACAGCCACACCUAAGCUGUGGAGUCUGUCUCAGCAAAGGGAUGUGUCACCUCCUGAGACCUGACUGAGUCCCACUGAGCUUAUUUAGAAAGAGAUUUUACAGAAAAACUGUGCUGUACCUGAGGAACAGAAAAUGCUGUCAGGAGUGGGCUGAGUUUCGAGGUACGUCCUGCACAGAGUUUGCUGCUGGAUCUUGGAAGGCCCGAGCUCUGUAAAUGAAACUGAGCUGCAAUCUGGGAAAUGUGAGGCUCUGAGUAAAAAAGACACUUUGAAAACAUGCUCAGAAUUAGGUGAGAGAAUGUGCCUGUCUGAAAUCUGAAGCUGCAGCUCUUGGGCAGAACGAGCUGCUUGCCUUCAGUCAGAGAUUCUCUGCCUCUCUUAGUGACUACACAUUGAAAUAAGGUUUAUUGAUAUGUCAGAAGUUCUUGUGACUGUGAAAGAGACUUCUGAGAUCAUAGUGCUCUGCCAGGUACUAGCUAGGCAGGGUGAUAAUUGAAUUUUAAGGGUACAAAUCAUACUAAAUGUUGUAUUUUGAUUUCUCAGCACUGCUGCUGAGAAAAUCCCAAGAGAUGUCAUGGGCUAAGGAUACUGCACAUCAUUUCAUUCCUAAGAUGGCAAUGUUCCCUGGGUAUAACAGACAUACCUUACCACUCACUUAAGAUUAAAUUACUUAGCUGGCUCACAAUCCAAUAUAAAACUGUUAAACUGAGAAGAUUCAAAAUCAUUUGGGGAAGAGUUGCUCUUCUGUCUCUCCCAUGCUGCCAUUGUGUGAUAGUAAUAGUAAAUCUAAAGGUAAAGGGAGAAUAAUUACCAAGGGAAGCUAACAAAAUGAAAUAAUCUCAGAGGUCAAAGAACAUAAUUGCACCAAAUGUUUUCUGGCAUUGAACAAAUCUGGAGAAAUUUUUCAAUGUUUACUCAUUUUGAAUGUAUGAAAUUGAGCAAGAUUUUGGGGCCUGAAUUAGUUUUUAGUGCAGUGGUGUACAAAGCAGUCUUUAUUUUGGAUUUGGCAGCAGGAUGAUUUAGGUUGCUUUGGAGGGGUUGAGGAAGGAGAAGAUGACAAAAAUAACCUGGCAUCCAACAGCAUUUAAAUAGAAUAUUGAACUUAUCAGCACCUUGAGUAAUUCUCAAUAAUUCCAUAUGUGAAUACAUAUCCGCAGCAAGACUGCCUAAUGUGUGUUUAUCUUAAUCCAGUAGCAUUAACAGUUCUCAUUCCAGAAUCAGGAUGUGCUCAUAGGGAGUAAAACGAGACAGCCAGGGUAAUUCCACGGACAGGUUUCGCUCCAAGUGAAGCUGUUCUGUGUCUCAGCCCCAGAAGGCAGAGAGAAGCUGCUGUCACAGGCUGCAGGUGACUCAGGCCAGAGCUGUGCCCGGGCUGUGGCACUGGGGUGAGCUGGUUCCUGCCCUGACUCAGCCCUCGGAGCAUCUCCCUCCUGCCAGCACCUUCCUGAGCAGGAGCUGGGUUGUGCAGAGUCACCCCCCUCCUGCCCAGCUCCUGUGUGUGUCUCAGGGAAGUGGAGCCCCAUGGGGACUUUCUCUGCCAAAGGAUCCUCAAAUGCAAAAUACCAGACUUUCAUUUUUUCAAGAAAUAAUCACAGCUGCUGGUGGGUGUAAAUAAAGUAUAAAAAAAAAAAAAAGAAAAGAAAAAAAGUGACACACACAGAGAAAAAAAUGUUCAUUAUUUCCAUCAAAAGUCCUGCCAGAGAUCUUAUCACUAUUGCUAAAGUAGCCUGUGCUGCCAGAACUUAUCAGAUAUCAUCUCCCUUGAAUUGGUGUCAUAAUGCCACUUCAUGUUUCUUUAUAAAGAACAUGUUCCAUGGCAUGCUUAUAUCCCACUCCUAGAUGUGAUGAUUAUUGUCAAAAUAUGCAUAAUUGUCAAAGUUCAGGUCUAUUUCUGUGUUCAUUAUUUGUUGUCAACUCCCUUCUAUUUACCCCAGGAGCAGUGUACCUGAAAGGUUAUGGGGUUUGGGUAAGCACGCAGAACAGGGAGAGCACUUAUCUGCUCCUGUGUGCAGCACUCAGGUUGUGUGUAGGUGUGGUGAAACAACUUUUGGAACCAUAAAUGUAAUCUUGAUAGCACUUGCAUGGAAACAGUGCUAUUGUAUGGUAAUGAAACUGGUGUAAUCAGCCUGGAGUGAAACUGGUGACUAAUUCAAAAAGCAAACUUCCUGUCUGCAGCAAAAGCCCUUCUGUAAAAAAAUGCCUUUUCUUCACUGCCCCGUGGCACUGUGUCACAUUGCAGCGUUAACUCUGCUGCUGGGAGUGCUCAGAUACUACAGAUAAUUAUCGUUUGGAGUUCUCACUCUUGAAUUUGUUUAAUCCCUCAGUCUCCUGACCAGGAGCAAAGAGUUUUACUGCCAGAGUCUUCUAUCAGGGCAGGGAGGAAGGAGUGGUUGAAGCUGGGAUCUCUAGGGGUGAGGUGGGAGAGUUCCAGAGGUCCCAAAGAAGCAGCAAGUGGGUCACCAGGUGAUGGACUUUGCCUCCGUGUGAGGAGCCACUGUAACAAUCUGCCUUUGGUCUGGGUUUGGUGGUGCAGAACUGUGCUGGGGGUAUUGGUAGGUAGUGAGGUCUGGGGAAUUUUCCCCACUCUUCAGUCAGCUGAGAAGGAUACCAAAGACCAGAUUUUGGGAAGGAUGGCAUUGUUCCAGCUCUGAGACAUGGGCUGUGCUGUAUAUAGUGCACAGAAUAGCUGCUGCAGUAUCCAGCAGAAUUCUGCUGCCCUGGGUCCUUGAAAGCUUUCAGGUGUAAAUAUUGAUUGUUCUUUAAAUGUCUGUAGACUUGUAUUUGAGCACAUUAAAGUAAUUUGGGGGUAAACAUAUCAACAAAGGAGAUAAGGAUUUUUUGAGACCCGUGUCAGGCUCAGUCUGAUGUCAGUUGUUUGCAGCCUCAGUAGGCUCCAAGUCUCUUGCAAUCCUUUAACACAAAGCUGUGUUUUCUGAUUGUUUUACAAGGGCUGCUGCUGUUUCUGGCUGGUCAAGUCUGAAGGGAUCAUUGUGACUGACCACUGAUUGUGUCACCAGCCUGAGGACUGUUUCAUCUUCCAGGCCUUCAUCUGCUGGGCCAGAUUAAGGUGAACGUGGGAGCAAACGGAGUCUUGCAACACGUGGCCCUGCAGAUAACCCCACCCAGCCCGGCAGGGGCCAGCGGGCGCAAACAGCGCUAUUGACAGACGAGCUCUGAGAAUGAGCAGAUAAGGCUCCGUGAUGUUGAUACCGCUUGAUCUGUGAGCCGUGUUCGAUAUUGCCAGCGGGGCAGUCAGGAAUGCUGAUGUGACCACAAGCCCUUGGAGGAUUUGUGUGAAGGCUGGUUAUUGUCACAGCCUGUCAGGACACAGCCGGCUCCCCAAGGGCGGUGGCCCUCGGGCUCCUUCCCCCGCUGGGAACCCCCUGCUCGCCUUCCUGGCGGCCUUUCCGCGUGCCACAGUCCGCAGCUGCAGCAAUGGAUAUGAAAUAUUAACACUCACUGAAUGGAGAUGCAUUUCCAUUUCUGUGUGCUUUAUUUUGUCGUAAAUAGUUCCGCUAAGAGGACACCACUGUGCCCCGGUGUAGUGAGCUCCACUGGUGGCACCGUGCUGCUCCCGGUAAAACACAGCCCAAAACAGUCCUGUCGUGUGAGAAAUGUUGUCUUGUCACGUACCAGAAAAAACGGUAAAAGUGACUUCAAACAUGAAUUGAUUCUGUUUGUGGUCCAUCACAAGGCUGAGGGAUAUGCAGCAGACUUCAGAGACAGGUCCCUCAGGUUGAGUGGACUGAGGCUGACCUGGCAAUCAUGGCUGGAUGGAAGCAGAUUAAUGUGGAAUCUGAUCUGUGGAGCAGAUCCACAGUGACUGGGCAGGAAAACACAAGUUACUUUAUUUACAAUAAGCACAUUUCCCAGGACAGAGUUGAAUUCAACUUGUUUGUCUCACUUGGAAACAGCCAACAAGAUCCCUGAUCCUAGGACCUGUUCCAACUAAUCCUGCUAAUGCUGCUGUUCAUUUUAUUCUUGACUGCUCAAGCAGAGGUGAACUUUGAGGCUCUCUCAGUAUCACUGAGACAGAUGUGGCAUUUUAACGCUGUCAGCAAAACAAAAUGUCAGGAUGGUCAGAGUUUCAGUUUUCCUCCUUGAAGGAUUUUUGCCUGGUUUUCCCCCAGCAGCAAAGCCUGCAGGCUGCUUCCCCUGCCAGCAGAUCCUUUCUGGGUGCUGGUGAACUAAAGUUAAAACUCGAUGCACCGUCACAGAUGGCAUCCAGGCACAAAUGUCUGUCAGAAACCAGUUUAUCAAAAUCACUCAAAAUUCUAAUUCUGUUCUCCAGAGUGCUGACAGCAAACUUGAUAGCAUCAGCAAAUUUUGGGUUUGCUCUCUGGUUUUCAAGGCAUUAAUACAAAUACAAGUCAUAGACAAAGCUCUGGUAUGUCUUCCAGUCUCAUGGCAAACUAUUGACACAUCAGAAGUUUUUUAACAGGUUAUUUAUCUUCUAGAUGCUUUCCCAGACUGUUUAAUGAAGUGCUGUAGUGUUCAGCCAGGUUUGUGGGCUCUGAGGUGACUGACUAAUGCAAAUAGAUGUCUAAGAGUAGGGUUUGAUUUCAGUGUUAACAAGUGCCUUGGAACCUGUCUUUGUUCAAUAAACAACAUAUUUCAUAGUUUACAUCAGAUUGAAUCCUUCUGCACAUAUAAACAAAUACAUUAAUGGAAUAAGAAAGUAAACUCUGUGACGCUCCUGGCUGCAGUGACUAAUCAAUUAAAAAGUCUUUUUAUUGUUGACUAUUUAAAUUAAAGCACCCAGCCCUGUAGUGCAUGGCACCUAAACCAAGAGCAGUUUAGGGUCUGCACAGCCCGGAGAAGUGUUUGGAAGAGCUUUGGGAUCUCGUGAUUCCUGGGAACUGGAAGGAAUGUGUCAGUUCUCUGUGUCGUGACCUCAGUCUGCACUAUCAUUGCUUAAAUAAUGAUUUUAAAGCUCCUUUUAGUCUUCCUGAUGACAGUCUCUGCUAUGAAAAGACUCAGGGGCUGAGCAGGCAGGGUCUCUGUCCUUUGGGGAGGGGGCUGUCUGCUGUUCCUGACAAGCUUCCAGCUGGCUGGGGAAGGCUUGGCACACAGGGACACGGGAGCGUGUGGGAUCUGCUCUGUCUGCCGGGUUCACACCUGUGUCAGUACCUGGCAGCUAUAAAUACCCCCAGAGCGUGAGUCAUGCCUCGUGUGGCACCGAAAGCCUUUCCUGCCUCUCCAGGGAGUGGAGGCAACGGGAGAGCACGUCAGAGCUGGGACAUUUUACAAGGUGUGGUGCUGAUUCAGGACAGCUGCAGCCAAAUCUCACCAUUUUCCUGACCAAUAAACAGAAUGAACCCGUAGCAACGCAACAAAACCCCACGACUUAAACUGCGCUGAGUGUCCUUCUGCCCUCCCAGGAGAACACCGAGCUCCAAAGCCUGCAUCCACCUCGGGAGGAUGCAGCUGGGAGCUGUCGGGGUUGGGCACCACCACAGGCAGACAGCUGCUUGAGAGGAUGUCCCAGCACUCUGAUGAACGUGCCCUGUGGCUUUGGAUAGCCCUGGCUGGGAAAAAGGAGUAAAAGUCACCUGGAACAUUAAAGACUCCAAUAAAUGGUAGUGUUGCCUCUGUAUUGUAGCUGUACCAGGAGUCUGCAAACAGACAGCCUGUGUUCUUACUACAGUUACUUCACUUUUAAAAUAUCACGCUGAUAGCAAAAGUACAAUUUCAAAGUAAAGUUUGGUGUAGAUGAAGACCAAGCCACCGUUCCUACUCCUACUUACCGUAUGGAGAAGCCACUGACUGUUACAGCUCUGCCAAUAACUGAGCUCAUAGCACAAUGAAACUCUGUAAAUAGUAUUUAAGCGUUGACAGUAUUUAAAUACUUAACUCACCGAGCCUGGUGUGAGUACACUUUCUCAGCAUUAGGAAAUCUAUUGCUUAAUUAAUGUUUUAUGGCAGUUUGCAUAUAUAAAGCACUGUAUAUGAAUGCUGA